UACAGGGGGUGCAAACGUUGCUCGGAAUCAUUGGGCGUAAAGCGCACGUAGGCGGUCUGUUAUGUCGGAUGUGAAGGCCCUUGGCUCAACUGAGGAAGUGCAUCCGAAACUGGCAGGCUAGAGUACUAAAGAGGAUCGCGGAAUUCCCGGUGUAGAGGUGAAAUUCGUAGAUAUCGGGAGGAACACCGGUGGCGAAGGCGGCGAUCUGGGUAGAUACUGACGCUGAGGUGCGAAAGCGUGGGGAGCAAACAGG
RNAcentral lists this ribosomal RNA (253 nucleotides) under uncultured bacterium. RNAcentral describes it as "partial 16S ribosomal RNA". It matches the Rfam family "Bacterial small subunit ribosomal RNA", at positions 524 to 776 of the family's 1533-position model. The record is from RNAcentral.